AGAUUGAACGCUGGCGGCAGGCCUAACACAUGCAAGUCGAGCGGUAGAGAGGUGCUUGCAUCUCUUGAGAGCGGCGGACGGGUGAGUAAUGCCUAGGAAUCUGCCUAGUGGUGGGGGAUAACGUUCGGAAACGGACGCUAAUACCGCAUACGUCCUACGGGAGAAAGCGGGGGACCUUCGGGCCUCGCGCCAUUAGAUGAGCCUAGGUCGGAUUAGCUAGUUGGUGAGGUAAUGGCUCACCAAGGCGACGAUCCGUAACUGGUCUGAGAGGAUGAUCAGUCACACUGGAACUGAGACACGGUCCAGACCUCCGUACGGGAGCAGCGAGG
RNAcentral lists this ribosomal RNA (329 nucleotides) under uncultured soil bacterium. RNAcentral describes it as "bacterial SSU rRNA". It matches the Rfam family "Bacterial small subunit ribosomal RNA", at positions 26 to 359 of the family's 1533-position model. The record is from RNAcentral.